RNAcentral lists this long non-coding RNA (290 nucleotides) under Amborella trichopoda. Its description in RNAcentral is "long non-coding RNA (ATRI_LNC001022)". The record is from RNAcentral. Lineage: Eukaryota; Viridiplantae; Streptophyta; Magnoliopsida; Amborellales; Amborellaceae.
GAGCAAGAUAAUCUUGUUGUAUAUAGGCAAUAUCUAUUUUUCUCUUUUUUCUUGCUAAUUUAGCAGCUAAAUAUUCUUCCAUAUAUGUAUCAUUAUUUAUAUCAUCUUCCACUUGUAAUGUUAGUAUUUGAAAUUCAGCUAUGUCAGGUUCAGAUGUAUACGUGGGAAUGACUACGUGAUCAGCUGUUCGUUUGACUCCUUGUAAUUGGAAGUCUGAAGAUGUAGGUAUUGAUGGAGAAUGAAGUAUUAUAACAUCGGGAGUGGUAUGACAAGAUUUUUUAGCAGGUACU